RNAcentral lists this ribosomal RNA (632 nucleotides) under uncultured organism. RNAcentral describes it as "bacterial SSU rRNA". It matches the Rfam family "Bacterial small subunit ribosomal RNA", at positions 771 to 1414 of the family's 1533-position model. The record is from RNAcentral.
AACAGGAUUAGAUACCCUGUAGGUCACACCGUAAACUUUGCUCACUUCGCUGUUGGCGAUAGACAGUCAGCGGCCAAGGGAAACCGAUAAGUUAGCCACCUGGGGAGUUCGCACGCAAGGUUGAAACUCAAAAGAAUUGACGGGGGCCCGCACAAGCGGUGGAACAUGUGGUUUAAUUCGAUGAUACGCGAGGAACCUUACCUGGGCUUAAAUGUGAAGUGCAUUGAUUGGAAACAAUCAUUUCCUUCGGGACCCUUUACAAGGUGCUGCAUGGUUGUCGUCAGCUCGUGCCGUGAGGUGUCGGGUUAAGUCCCAUAACGAGCGCAACCCCUAUUGUUAGUUACCAGCGCGUGAUGGCGGGGACUCUAGCGAAACUGCCGGUGUAAACCGCGAGGAAGGUGGGGAUGACGUCAAAUCAGCACGCCACUUAUGUCCAGGGCUACACACGUGUUACAAUGGCCAGUACAGCGGGCAGCUAGGCAGCGAUGUCAUGCUAAUCACGAAAGCCGGUCACAGUUCGGAUUGGAGUCUGCAACCCGACUCNAUGAAGUGGAAUCGCUAGUAUCGCCUACACCCAUGCGCGGUGAUACGUCUCGGGCCUGUACGCACCGCCCGUCNGCCAUGAAGUCUGG